RNAcentral lists this long non-coding RNA (256 nucleotides) under Homo sapiens (human). RNAcentral describes it as "HSALNT0130523". Lineage: Eukaryota; Metazoa; Chordata; Mammalia; Primates; Hominidae. The record is from RNAcentral.
UUGGGAAUCUGGCCUCAUUAAACUUGAAGACUGAAACACAGGCCUUUUUCUGUCUGUAUCACAAAACUGUCUGAUCUCUUGCCACCGAAUAAGCGAAACAGCUGAAAAUGAGAGCCAAGGCUGAUCCCUGUGGGUGCCAAACUUUGAUGUCCGUGGAAUUGGCAGCUUCCCUCACUCUCCCAGCUGAAAACAGGUCAGUGAUUAAGAGAGUGGAACUUCAGGAAUUGUAAGGUGGACUUAUGGGAACAUUUGGAAG